CCUACGGGUGGCAGCAGUGGGGAAUAUUGCACAAUGGUCGAAAGUCUGAAGCAGCGACGCCGCGUGAAUGAAGAAGUCCUUCGGGACGUAAAGCUCUUUCAACAGGGAAGAAAAUGACGGUACGUAACUAGGUAUGCACGGCUAAUAACGUUAUAGCCAGCCCGGUACAACGUAGGGGGCAGGCGUGAUCCGGAUUUACUGGGUGUAAAGCGAGUGUAGACGGCAGCGUAAGUCUGUAGUGAAAUCCGAGGGCUGAACCAUGGAACUGGUGUGGAUACUGUGCAGCUGGAGUGCAGGAGAGGUAUGCAGAAUUCCUGGUGUAGCGGUGAAAUGCGUAGAUAUUAGGAGGAACACC
RNAcentral lists this ribosomal RNA (355 nucleotides) under uncultured bacterium. Its description in RNAcentral is "partial 16S ribosomal RNA". It matches the Rfam family "Bacterial small subunit ribosomal RNA", at positions 338 to 710 of the family's 1533-position model. The record is from RNAcentral.